AGUAAGAGCAAAAUGAGCCCCUUCAGAGAGUGCUGCAUGUCCAUGUCGGCAUUCUGGUGACCUGUUCUUAAGCCCCAGGCAGCAGUUUCUGCUUGAGCGUGUAGCAAGUUCUACUACAUCACAGUUGGAGACAUGGGGGGCAGCAAACAAACCCUGCAUGUUGACUGUGUCCUCGGUUAGUUCCAGCUCUUACACAUCAUAGAGUCAUAGAACCAGAGAAUCAUAGACAGUCUAGAGCUGGAAGGUACCUUAAAUAUGUUCUAGCUCCAACCAAUCUAUCAUGGAUGAGCAUGCUCCCUCAGCCUCUCCUCAUAGGAGAGAUGUUGCAGUCCCUAGUGAUAUCAGUCUUACUCCAAAGUUAUGCUGAUCUUUCUGGGUAUAGACAAGGCCUCUGGAGGCACCAUAGUGAGUGGGACUGGCACUGACGCAAGCAUGAUGAGUCCAAGGUACCAAGGAGCAAUAAUUCAGAAAUUCUUGGUUUCUGCCUAUAGAAAGAUAAGAAGACAUCCAGUUUAUUAUUGGAAAGUUCCCCUCCUUUUUGAGUCUCAAGAAGUUGGAAACAAUUCCUCCAUGGCCCAUUUUUGUGCUACAUAA
Molecule: long non-coding RNA, 594 nt
Filed under: Cyanistes caeruleus (blue tit)
Lineage: Eukaryota; Metazoa; Chordata; Aves; Passeriformes; Paridae
Description: lncRNA (ENSCCEG00000021675.1)
Source: RNAcentral